GGCUUUGCACAGUGGCAGUAUCAUAGCCAAUGAGGUUUAUCUGAGGCACGGUUAUUGCUAAUUGAAAACUUUUCCCAAGAUCUCGCCGUGACGACUUGCAAUAUAGUCGGCAUUAGCAAUUUUUGACAGUCUCUACAAAGA
Callithrix jacchus (white-tufted-ear marmoset) is the source of this 141-nucleotide small nuclear RNA. Its record names the gene U4. It matches the Rfam family "U4 spliceosomal RNA". From Rfam's summary of the family: U4 small nuclear RNA (U4 snRNA) is a component of the major U2-dependent spliceosome. The record is from Ensembl. NCBI's taxonomy places the organism in Eukaryota, Metazoa, Chordata, Mammalia, Primates, Cebidae.